UACGUAGGGGGCAAGCGUUGUCCGGAUUUAUUGGGCGUAAAGAGCGUGUAGGCGGCUUUACAGGUCCGUUGUGAAAACUCGAGGCUCAACCUCGAGACGCCGGUGGAAACCGUAAGGCUAGAGUCCGGAAGAGGAGAGUGGAAUUCCAGGUGUAGCGGUGAAAUGCGUAGAUAUCUGGAGGAACACCGGUGGCGAAGGCGGCAUCCUGGACCAACACUGACGCUGAGGAGCGAAAGCCAGGGGAGCAAACGGG
This 253-nucleotide ribosomal RNA is filed under the name uncultured bacterium. RNAcentral's name for it is "partial 16S ribosomal RNA". It matches the Rfam family "Bacterial small subunit ribosomal RNA", at positions 524 to 776 of the family's 1533-position model. The record is from RNAcentral.